RNAcentral lists this ribosomal RNA (253 nucleotides) under uncultured bacterium. Its description in RNAcentral is "partial 16S ribosomal RNA". It matches the Rfam family "Bacterial small subunit ribosomal RNA", at positions 524 to 776 of the family's 1533-position model. The record is from RNAcentral.
GACGAACCGAGCGAACGUUGUUCGGAAUCACUGGGCUUAAAGGGCGCGUAGGCGGGUGCUCAAGUCUGUGGUGAAAUCCUCCGGCUCAACCGGAGAACUGCCAUGGAUACUGGGUGCCUCGAGGGUGGUAGGGGUAUGCGGAACUAUCGGUGGAGCGGUGAAAUGCGUUGAUAUCGAUAGGAACUCCGGUGGCGAAGGCGGCAUACUGGACCACUUCUGACGCGGAGGCGCGAAAGCCAGGGGAGCAAACGGG